Molecule: small nuclear RNA, 105 nt
Filed under: Balaenoptera musculus (blue whale)
Lineage: Eukaryota; Metazoa; Chordata; Mammalia; Artiodactyla; Balaenopteridae
Source: RNAcentral
GUCACAGUGCUCUGUCACAUACACUAAAUUGGAACGAUACAGAGAAGAUUAGCAUGGCCCCUGUGCAGGGAUGACAUGCAAAUUCGUGAAGCGUUCCAUAUUUUU